This 398-nucleotide long non-coding RNA is filed under the name Naja naja (Indian cobra). RNAcentral describes it as "lncRNA (ENSNNAG00000007173.1)". The record is from RNAcentral. Lineage: Eukaryota; Metazoa; Chordata; Lepidosauria; Squamata; Elapidae.
CGCAACCGGCCUGCCUGACGAACCGCGACAGGGGAGCAAGGAAGGCUGAAUUAAUCCAGUUCCUCGGGGAGGUUUAAACAGGAAGAAAGCCGCCCCACGCACAUCGCUCCAAAGAAGGGGCUUUUAAAACAGGUUGAAGAAACGGGGCGCAGCUUUGCUGCAAUCCCCUUCAACACAACACAAGAGCAUUCUGCAACGAACUAUCCAAUACUUGAGGAAGAAAUGCAUAAAUGAAAGAGAAUCUGACAUUAAGCAAUUCUGCAAGUUCCUCUUGGCUUUGCCUCUCCUCUUCUCAGAAUCCAUCAGGAACAUCUUAUAAGAGAUGGGAUAUGAGAAGAAGACACCAUUUGUUUUAUUUUAAGAGAAGAUAAUAAGUUAUUAAAAUUGUUUAUACUUGU